Pantherophis guttatus is the source of this 962-nucleotide long non-coding RNA. RefSeq lists it as uncharacterized. NCBI's taxonomy places the organism in Eukaryota, Metazoa, Chordata, Lepidosauria, Squamata, Colubridae. The record is from RefSeq and is a predicted model, not a curated record.
CGACCCCUUUAUUUCUUGCCCACCAAAGCAGGGUAGUAGUACCGUAGGCAGGGCAAAGCUACAGCUCCCGGCCACGGCCGUCUCCGAAAAGUUGGUGGGGGGAUUGAAUUUGCAACCUCGCUUCGUCUCUCCGGCGCGCAAAACAUGAAAUUUUUGGAUCUGGCAAUCCUGCUUCAGAAUUCAAUUCAAAAAGUCAAAUAAAGUUUUGAGUUGCAGACACAGCAGUGCUAAAUCUGUGCUGAUUCCAGUUUCCAGAUCUUCGUCUUAGCCUUGCCACAUGCAGAAGCCACUUCGGAAAUAAGGAAAUAUACAUUUCUGCCUUCUGGGAGAUGUGGUUUUCUCUCUUUCAGGCUGAAGGCUCCUGUGUUUAGCUGUAGAUCUGUAACUGAGCAUCUAUUCUAAGGGCCAGUUCUCACAUGCACGCAGUGCCAUCAGUGAAUCAUCAUUUGAUGAUUCAGCACUUUGAUGACUCAUAGAUGGCUUGCCAACCAAUUUCGCUGACACUUUUUGCCACAGGGAUCAAGCGAAGAUAUUUUUAAUUUAAGGAAAGCUUUAUCGGUCAGUAGUUAUUCACUUGAAAAGCAUAGGGGUGUUGGCUUGCAGUGAAGGCCAUAUGGCACGAGUUUUAUUUUAUUGGACUCCCCAACUCCAAACUUGGCACCUUGCAAUAUAAAAAAUGAUAAGAUAAAUUCAAAAUGAAAAAUACAAUAAGGGAACUAGGUCAGCAGUGAGCAGUUUUCCUUUGCCAAGCAAGCUAACAAACCAUAUUCAAAAUUUGAGAUUGGGUUAAUGUUGUGUACAUGAUAACACAUAUGAACUACCAUCCAUUCUUGUCUUUUUUGUCCCUCAGUGCAGGGAACAGUAGAAAGACAUAUGCAUGUAUACCUGUCUGAACAUACACGUAACUGCUGUGUGUAUAUGAUAAUGAUGAGUAUAAACAUUUAUUAAAAUGAACGACCUGA